UACUGAAUGAUCUCCUCCUCC
RNAcentral lists this non-coding RNA (21 nucleotides) under Mus musculus (house mouse). The record is from RNAcentral. Lineage: Eukaryota; Metazoa; Chordata; Mammalia; Rodentia; Muridae.